UACGGAGGGAGCUAGCGUUGUUCGGAAAUACUGGGCGUAAAGCGCACGUAGGCGGCGCAGCAAGUCAGGGGUGAAAUCCCGGGGCUCAACCCCGGAACUGCCCUUGAAACUGCAGUGCUAGAAUUCUGGAGAGGCGAGUGGAAUUCCGAGUGUAGAGGUGAAAUUCGUAGAUAUUCGGAAGAACACCAGUGGCGAAGGCGACUCGGUGGACAGACAUUGACGCUGAGGUGCGAAAGCGUGGGGAGCAAACAGG
This 253-nucleotide ribosomal RNA is filed under the name uncultured bacterium. RNAcentral describes it as "partial 16S ribosomal RNA". It matches the Rfam family "Bacterial small subunit ribosomal RNA", at positions 524 to 776 of the family's 1533-position model. The record is from RNAcentral.